RNAcentral lists this ribosomal RNA (490 nucleotides) under uncultured bacterium. Its description in RNAcentral is "partial 16S ribosomal RNA". It matches the Rfam family "Bacterial small subunit ribosomal RNA", at positions 30 to 507 of the family's 1533-position model. The record is from RNAcentral.
AUUGAACGCUGGCGGCAGGCCUAACACAUGCAAGUCGAACGGUAACAGGAUAAAUCUUUCCUCUUUGGGGGGGCGAGGGGCGCGGGAGAGGUAAGUACGUUGCACUCCAGGUUGGAGGGGGAUAUCUACUGGAAACGGUAUCCCUAAUCGCAUAACGGCCCAACAUCAAAUAGUGGGGCAUUCUGGAAUCUUGCCAUCAGAUCUGCGCAGAUGGGAGUCUCGUGUGGGUGGGGGCACGGCGCACAUAGGCGACGAGCCGUAGCGGGUGUGAGAGGAUGAGCAGCCACACUGGAACUGAGACACGGUCCAGACUCCUACGGGAGGCAGCAGUGGGGAAUAUUGCACAAUGGGCGCAAACCUGAUGCAGCCAUACCGCGUGUAUGAAGAAGGCCUUCGGGUUGUAAAGUACUUUUAUUGGGAAGGAAAAGAGUAAAGUUAAUACCUGGACCAAUUGACGGUACCCACAGAAGAAGCACCGGCUAACUACGUG